UGGGGUGUGGGUCAGUGGCAGAGCACAUGCCUAGCAUGUAUGAGGCAUUGGCUUCGAUCCUUAGCACUGCAU
Molecule: transfer RNA, 72 nt
Filed under: Marmota monax (woodchuck)
Lineage: Eukaryota; Metazoa; Chordata; Mammalia; Rodentia; Sciuridae
Description: tRNA.Ala
Source: RNAcentral